GAACUGAAGAGUUUGAUCCUGGCUCAGAUUGAACGCUGGCGGUAUGCUUUACACAUGCAAGUCGAACGG
This 69-nucleotide ribosomal RNA is filed under the name Gallionella sp. Its description in RNAcentral is "partial 16S ribosomal RNA". It matches the Rfam family "Bacterial small subunit ribosomal RNA", at positions 1 to 69 of the family's 1533-position model. The record is from RNAcentral. Lineage: Bacteria; Pseudomonadati; Pseudomonadota; Betaproteobacteria; Nitrosomonadales; Gallionellaceae.